RNAcentral lists this transfer RNA (76 nucleotides) under Apis mellifera capensis (Cape honeybee). Its description in RNAcentral is "tRNA-Cys". The record is from RNAcentral. Lineage: Eukaryota; Metazoa; Arthropoda; Insecta; Hymenoptera; Apidae.
AUUAUUAUAGUUUAAAAUAUAAAACAUCAGAUUGCAAAUUUGAAGAUUAAUUAUUAUCAUUAUAAUUAUAAUAAUU